CCUACGGGGGGCAGCAGUGAGGAUUAUUGGUCAAUGGACGAGAGUCUGAACCAGCCAAGUAGCGUGAAGGAUGACUGCCCUAUGGGUUGUAAACUUCUUUUAUAUGGGAAUAAAAUGUUCCACGUGUGGGAUUUUGUAUGUACCAUAUGAAUAAGGAUCGGCUAACUCCGUGCCAGCAGCCGCGGUAAUACGGAGGAUCCGAGCGUUAUCCGGAUUUAUUGGGUUUAAAGGGAGCGUAGGUGGAUUGUUAAGUCAGUUGUGAAAGUUUGCGGCUCAACCGUAAAAUUGCAGUUGAAACUGGCAGUCUUGAGUACAGUAGAGGUGGGCGGAAUUCGUGGUGUAGCGGUGAAAUGCUUAGAUAUCACGAAGAACUCCGAUUGCGAAGGCAGUUCACUGGACUGCAACUGACACUGAGGCUCGAAAGUGUGGGUAUCAAACAGGAUUAGAUACCCGUGUAGUC
RNAcentral lists this ribosomal RNA (460 nucleotides) under uncultured bacterium. RNAcentral describes it as "partial 16S ribosomal RNA". It matches the Rfam family "Bacterial small subunit ribosomal RNA", at positions 338 to 795 of the family's 1533-position model. The record is from RNAcentral.